Molecule: transfer RNA, 76 nt
Filed under: Acetobacteraceae bacterium
Lineage: Bacteria; Pseudomonadati; Pseudomonadota; Alphaproteobacteria; Acetobacterales; Acetobacteraceae
Also listed under: 1 other name
Description: tRNA-Asn
Rfam family: tRNA
About the family: Transfer RNA (tRNA) molecules are approximately 80 nucleotides in length. Their secondary structure includes four short double-helical elements and three loops (D, anti-codon, and T loops). Further hydrogen bonds mediate the characteristic L-shaped molecular structure. tRNAs have two regions of fundamental functional importance: the anti-codon, which is responsible for specific mRNA codon recognition, and the 3' end, to which the tRNAs corresponding amino acid is attached (by aminoacyl-tRNA synthetases). tRNAs cope with the degeneracy of the genetic code in two manners: having more than one tRNA (with a specific anti-codon) for a particular amino acid; and 'wobble' base-pairing, i.e. permitting non-standard base-pairing at the 3rd anti-codon position.
Source: RNAcentral
UCCCGGAUAGCUCAGUUGGUAGAGCAAGCGGCUGUUAACCGCUUUGUCGUAGGUUCGAGUCCUACUCCGGGAGCCA